AAACCGAUACGUCGCGUCAACUGCUAUCCGCAUUUUAUUGAAAUUCAUUUUUGAAUUUAUUUUUUGUCGCAUAUUGGCUUUAUUUAUUCUCAUAUUCUUCCUAAUAAUAAAUUCACAUUUUAUGGACGAUACAUACAUAAAUAACCACUACUUUUUAAUAUAUCGUAUGUUGAUGUUUUUUGUGAAUAUGUAUGUAACAUAUAUAUUUGGAAAGUCAAAUUCUGUUCCAAUGGAAACUUUUGUCGCGUGUAAUUUUGACAGUAUAUAAAUUUCAUAAUACUUUGUUCAUAAAGGCGGAGCGAUAUUCUCGAAGUUCUAAUUUGAAAUCUUCACAUCUGACGUUGAAGACUCGGGAUUAUCGGAUCACAUAGCGGUAUUAUUUGAGAGAACGCGAGUCGACCAAUGAAUGUUUGGACACUUCGUCAGAAGAAAAAAGAAUUCUCCGCUGACCAAGAUUUCCGAGGAAGUCAUUUGAGACUUAAUUAAUUACACAAGAUAUAAAUAGACCGAGAAAAAUUGUGUAUAAUUAAUCGAUUGAAUAAUUCGAUUGAUUUGAAAGCCGAUGAAAAAUUUCUGCUUUGAUCGCAGUGAUAAAUAACGAUUGUAAAAUUCGAA
RNAcentral lists this unclassified non-coding RNA (615 nucleotides) under Monomorium pharaonis (pharaoh ant). RNAcentral describes it as "uncharacterized LOC114253968, transcript variant X1". The record is from RNAcentral. Lineage: Eukaryota; Metazoa; Arthropoda; Insecta; Hymenoptera; Formicidae.